Molecule: ribosomal RNA, 253 nt
Filed under: uncultured bacterium
Lineage: Bacteria
Description: partial 16S ribosomal RNA
Rfam family: Bacterial small subunit ribosomal RNA
Source: RNAcentral
GACGAACCGUGCGAACGUUGUUCGGAAUCACUGGGCUUAAAGGGCGCGUAGGCGGGUUGCCAAGUCCGGGGUGAAAGCCCCCAGCUCAACUGGGGAAGUGCCUUGGAUACUGGUGAUCUCGAGGGAGGUAGGGGCAUGCGGAACUUCCGGUGGAGCGGUGAAAUGCGUAGAUAUCGGAAGGAACGCCGGUGGCGAAAGCGGCGUGCUGGACCUCUUCUGACGCUGAGGCGCGAAAGCUAGGGGAGCAAACGGG